GAUGAACGCUGGCGGCGUGCCUAAUACAUGCAAGUCGAGCGAACGGACGAGAAGCUUGCUUCUCUGAUGUUAGCGGCGGACGGGUGAGUAACACGUGGAUAACCUACCUAUAAGACUGGGAUAACUUCGGGAAACCGGAGCUAAUACCGGAUAAUAUUUUGAACCGCAUGGUUCAAAAGUGAAAUACGGUCUUGCUGUCACUUCUAGAUGGAUCCGCGCUGCAUUAGCUAGUUGGUAAGGUAACGGCUUACCAAGGCAACGAUGCAUAGCCGACCUGAGAGAGUGGUCGGCCACACUGGAAGUGAGACAGGGUCCAGACUACUACGGUAGGCAGCAGUAGGGAAUCGUCCGCAAUGGGCGAAAGCCUGACGGAGCAACGCCGCGUGAGUGAUGAAGGUCUUCGGAUCGUAAAACUCUGUUAUUAGGGAAGAACAUAUGUGUAAGUAACUGUGCACAGCUUGACGGUACCUAAUCAGAAAGCCACGGCUAACUACGUG
This 497-nucleotide ribosomal RNA is filed under the name uncultured bacterium. RNAcentral describes it as "partial 16S ribosomal RNA". It matches the Rfam family "Bacterial small subunit ribosomal RNA", at positions 28 to 507 of the family's 1533-position model. The record is from RNAcentral.